GACGAACGCUGGCGGCGUGCUUAACACAUGCAAGUCGAACGGAAAGGCCCUGCCUUUGUGGGGUGCUCGAGUGGCGAACGGGUGAGUAACACGUGAGUAACCUGCCCUUGACUUUGGGAUAACUUCAGGAAACUGGGGCUAAUACCGGAUAGGAGCUCCUGCUGCAUGGUGGGGGUUGGAAAGUUUCGGCGGUUGGGGAUGGACUCGCGGCUUAUCAGCUUGUUGGUGGGGUAGUGGCUUACCAAGGCUUUGACGGGUAGCCGGCCUGUGAGGGUGACCGGCCACAUUGGGACUGAGAUACGGCCCAGACUCCUACGGGAGGCAGCAGUGGGGAAUAUUGCACAAUGGGCGGAAGCCUGAUGCAGCAACGCCGCGUGCGGGAUGACGGCCUUCGGGUUGUAAACCGCUUUCGCCUGUGACGAAGCGUGAGUGACGGUAAUGGGUAAAGAAGCACCGGCUAACUACGUG
Molecule: ribosomal RNA, 468 nt
Filed under: uncultured bacterium
Lineage: Bacteria
Description: partial 16S ribosomal RNA
Rfam family: Bacterial small subunit ribosomal RNA
Source: RNAcentral